Molecule: transfer RNA, 77 nt
Filed under: Enterocloster aldenensis
Lineage: Bacteria; Bacillati; Bacillota; Clostridia; Lachnospirales; Lachnospiraceae
Description: [Clostridium] aldenense tRNA-Phe
Rfam family: tRNA
About the family: Transfer RNA (tRNA) molecules are approximately 80 nucleotides in length. Their secondary structure includes four short double-helical elements and three loops (D, anti-codon, and T loops). Further hydrogen bonds mediate the characteristic L-shaped molecular structure. tRNAs have two regions of fundamental functional importance: the anti-codon, which is responsible for specific mRNA codon recognition, and the 3' end, to which the tRNAs corresponding amino acid is attached (by aminoacyl-tRNA synthetases). tRNAs cope with the degeneracy of the genetic code in two manners: having more than one tRNA (with a specific anti-codon) for a particular amino acid; and 'wobble' base-pairing, i.e. permitting non-standard base-pairing at the 3rd anti-codon position.
Source: RNAcentral
GGGAUGAUAGCUUACUUGCGGUCCGCAGCACUGGUCUGAAAAACCAGAGGGUGAUGGUUCGACUCCAUCUCAUCUCA